This is a long non-coding RNA of Amphiprion ocellaris (clown anemonefish), 1726 nucleotides long. The record is from Ensembl. NCBI's taxonomy places the organism in Eukaryota, Metazoa, Chordata, Actinopteri, Pomacentridae.
CUAUGGUCGGCACGUCUGUUAGCAUCUCUGGCUGCUGUUGAUCUUGUUUUUGGAGUAAAACACGAUGUUCAGAGGGAGAUGAUGCCACAUCUGGUCCAGCUGAUGGAAGGUCUUGAAGUUCUCUGACUGGCCUCGACUGAAGAUGGUCGUCUCACUGGAUUUAAGGUUCAGAUGCUCAGUAACAAACUCCACCAAUGUGCCAACAGGGAAGCUUUAGGUUUAUUAAAUGUUGCUAUGAAGGUAUCACUGUUUUUCUUUGUGAAUGCAAUGUGCUCCAACUGAAACUUGAAUUAGAACUUAGAAGUAAAUCCUUCCAUCUGAAAGGAUUUAGUUGCAUUAAUAACCUGAUAACAUUCUAAUUUUUAUUCCAGUCUUGGUUGAAAAUAGAAUCUCUGUAUUGAUUCAGGUAAAAACUGAACUUCACAGCAUGUUGGAGCAAAACAACCAGAUGAAAACUGUGAUAGUGUUGGAUUGUCAGACCGUAAUAUUGCAGCUCAAAGCAGCUUUUCUAUCUCAGUUCAUUCUGACAUUCAGCUAUGAAUCAACACAGCAGAUGGUGAUCCAUGCUGUGGAAGUCUCACAUCUCCUGAUUUAAUGGAGCUGCUUUGCACUUUUUACACUGUUUAUUCACCAACACUUUAUUUAAUAAAAGUCCCAUCUAGUUUUUAUGAGGAAUGUGAUGUUUUAAUUUCUCUGUGAAUAACUGCAGUCUAAUGCAACAGCUGGAAUUGUAACAUCUGUCCUGAUAUUGAUCAUGAAGUAUUGAUCAGAAUACUUAUGGUCAGCAGUCAUCCCUGAAGUUUUAUAUUAAAAUCUUUACUUGUGUUGUGAACUUUGGUAAGAAGCAGAAACGUUAGCGUUGCCAUGGAUACAUGAGUGUUAAAUUCUGUCCAUGUUUCCAUUUUGGGAAAUUCAGUCCAGUUCCAGAAUGUGGAGGAAUUUAGUCUCAAUCACACACAACAAAUAUUAUCUGAAAGUCGGGUUAUUGUUGUUUAUCAGCACAAUACAAAAAGAUUAAUGUUAGAAAUAUUCCAGUUAAGACCCUAGAAUAUCAUGAUUUAUGUAAAUUUACCUCAAUAAUAUGAAUGUUCAGGUUAAGAUUGUACAGUGAUAUUUAUUGUGCAAGUUUAGCUGAUUAAAGUUUAUGACUGCACUAAAAUAUUAUUUAAAUUGACAUCAUUAUUAUAAUAUUUAGGGUCAGACCCUACAGUAUUGAGAUUAAGAAAUCAAAUAUUCUCUAAAAUGUAAAUACACUGAACUCAUUUGGAUAUAUUUAAGUGAGACUCUACAAUAUUAUUUGACACAAAUCUAUCUAAAUCAAAAUUUUAAUAAUUUUCACGCCAAACAUUUACUGGACUGAUUUAAACAUUAAAAUCAUUCCUUUCUAAUCCUCUGCUGUACGUUCAAACCUGAGGCCUUAAAUAGAAACACAGAAGUAUCUGAUUGAAGGAACUUCUGCAGAGUCCUGGUUCCAGAACAUGAUGAUAGAAUUAUGGACAAACUUUAACAAAAGCUGCCUGAGAGUUUACAGGUUUUUAUGUUGGAUUUCUUCAGUAAUUUAAUGAGAGUUAUCAGCAAAAAUCAAGUGUUUAUUUGAUGAACUUUAUUUCCUAAAACAUCCAGAAUUGGAGCUCAUAUCUUUGGCAGCUGUAAAGUUUCUGCUCCUUCAAAGUUCACAACACAAUGAAUGAAUUUCUAAAACACUCUCAGUGCUGGAGAGCGUUUG